UUUUAUUUAGUUUACUUAAAACAUUACAUUUUCACUGUAAAGAUGGGCCUAGGCCCAAUAAAUA
This 64-nucleotide transfer RNA is filed under the name Serratella sp. Yunnan-2018. RNAcentral's name for it is "tRNA-Glu". Lineage: Eukaryota; Metazoa; Arthropoda; Insecta; Ephemeroptera; Ephemerellidae. The record is from RNAcentral.